CAGCCGCCACGGGAAUACGUAGGGUGCAAGCGUUAAUCGGAAUUACUGGGCGUAAAGCGUGCGUAGGCGGUUUGUUAAGUCUGCUGUGAAAUCCCCGGGCUCAACCUGGGAAUGGCAGUGGAUACUGGCAAGCUAGAGUGUGUCAGAGGAUGGUGGAAUUCCCGGUGUAGCGGUGAAAUGCGUAGAGAUCGGGAGGAACAUCAGUGGCGAAGGCGGCCAUCUGGGACAACACUGACGCUGAGGCACGAAAGCGUGGGGAGCAAACAGGACUAGAUACCCCAGUAGUCCCUGUCUCUUAUAC
This 301-nucleotide ribosomal RNA is filed under the name uncultured bacterium. RNAcentral describes it as "partial 16S ribosomal RNA". It matches the Rfam family "Bacterial small subunit ribosomal RNA", at positions 509 to 807 of the family's 1533-position model. The record is from RNAcentral.